AGCUGAAUGUCAUCACUGGAAAGAGCAGGCAGUAUUGGCAGCAGGCAGGCUGCUAGUUUGCAUGGAGAUCACAAAGUCUUUUUUUCCUGAGUAUUCUGGGAGAAAAGCAAGAAUAGCUCAGAAAACCUGGUGUCAUUCCUCCCCUGGAAUGAAUGACUGGAAGGAAUGAGGGUGUUACACAUGAGGCAGAUCGCAAGUGCAAAAGAUGCAUCUGUGCUCAAUGCAAACCUAACACAAUUCCUGUCACAUUGUAUCUAAAAGGACUGCAUAGCUACAACUAAUAAGAGAGCAACAGCAAGGCAAAGUAAAGAAGGAGAGGCACAGACUGCGGCUGCAUACAACUGUCUGUAUAUAAAUUCAUUAUGUGAAUCUAAUGUUUUUGUGGAAGAUGCUAUGUAAGAACAUGAGAACGGCCAUACUGCGUCAGACCAAAGGUCCAUCUAGCCCAGUAUCCAGUCUACCAACAAUGGGCAAUGCCAGGUGCCCCAGAGGGAAUGAACAGAACAGCAUAGAUCUUCAGGGAAGAGCCACAAGAAUGAUUAAAGGAUUGGAAAAUAUGCCUUUGGUGAAGAACUAAAUUGACUGAGCUUCUUGAAUCUAUCAAAGGAGAUUAAGUGGUGAUUUGAUCAGCCUAUAUAAAUACACACAUGGAGAACAGAAAUUUGAUAAUACACGGCUCUUCAGUCUAGUAGACAAAAGGUGUACUCCCCAUCCUACAAGGCUUGCAUCUGUUAUGAGAAUUCUGGUUCAGUUGCAGCUGAAGACUCCAUUAUGACAAGACUCCUUUUGGUUCAACAGUGAGAAGUAUAGUACUGCUGCUAUUUCUUCCUACUUUUCCUGAAGACUUUAGAUCCUAUCAACUAUGAAGAGCACACAAAAAAAAGUUCAGUCUUAACUAAACUGGUGCCUGGCAACUGAGUUGGCGGAAAAGUUCUCAUAGCAAAACACCUUAGGAAUCUACUAUUCAAGAAGUGGACAUGAAGGACAGAGGCCAUAACAGGGACCCGAAGCAGUGCUGCGUGAAACUUAAGGAGCUGAGGCAAGCCUACCAGAAAACCAGAGAGGCGAACGGCUGCUCCGGGGCAGAGCCCAAAACAUGCCGCUUCUAUGAUGAGCUGCAUGCCAUUUUAGGGGGUUCAGCCACCACUACUCCAGCCGUGUUGUUUGACUCCUUCAAUGGAGAUGGGCGCAACACAGAAGCAGGUUUUGGGGACGAAGAAGAUGAUGAUGAGGUUGUAGAUAGCUCACAGCAAACAAGCAGAGAAACCGGUUUUCCCGACAGCCAGGAACUGUUUCUCACCCUGGACCUGGAGCCAGUACCCCCCGAACCCACCCAAGGCUGCCUCCCGGACCCGCCAGUCGGAGAAGGGACCUCUGCUGCAUGUGUUUCAAGGAUCACAGGAUCUCCUCCUUCCCAGAGGCUAGCAAAGAUCAGAAGGCGAAAAAACCGCACUCGCGAUGAAAUGUUCUUUGAGCUCAUGCUGUCCUCCCACACUGACAGAGCACAGACGAAUGCGUGGAGGCAGACAACGUCAGAGUGCAGGAAAGCACAAAAUGACCAGGAGGAGAGGUGGAGGGCUGAAGAGAGGGCUGAAGCUGAAAGGUGACGGCAGCGUGAUGAGAGGAGGCAGGAUUCAAUGCUGAGGCUGCUGGAGGAUCAAACUAAUAUGUGCUCCAGCGUAUGGCUGAGCUGCAGGAAAGGCAGCUGGAGAACAGACUACCUCUACAGCCCCUGUGUAACCAACCGCCAUCCUCCCCAAGUUCCAUAGCCUCUUCAGCCAGACGCCCAAGAACACGGUGGGGGGGGCUCCUGCCAUCCAGCCACUCCACCCCAGAGGAUUGCCCAAGCAACAGAAGGCUGGUAUUCAAUAAGUUUUAAAGUUUUAAACUUUUAAAGUGCUGUGUGGCCUUGUCCCUCCCUCCUCCCCCACCCCUCCUGGGCUACC
Non-coding RNA from Caretta caretta (loggerhead turtle), 1946 nucleotides. NCBI's taxonomy places the organism in Eukaryota, Metazoa, Chordata, Testudines, Cheloniidae. The record is from RefSeq and is a predicted model, not a curated record.